This 492-nucleotide ribosomal RNA is filed under the name uncultured bacterium. RNAcentral's name for it is "partial 16S ribosomal RNA". It matches the Rfam family "Bacterial small subunit ribosomal RNA", at positions 29 to 507 of the family's 1533-position model. The record is from RNAcentral.
AGUGAACGCUGGCGGUAGGCCUAACACAUGCAAGUCUAACGGCAGCACAGUAAGAGCUUGCUCUUACGGGUGGCGAGUGGCGGACGGGUGAGGAAUACAUCGGAAUCUACUUUUUCGUGGGGGAUAACGUAGGGAAACUUACGCUACUACCGCAUACGACCUACGGGUGAAAGCAGGAGAUCUUCGGACCUUGCGCGAUUGAAUGAGCCGAUGUCGGAUUAGCUAGUUGGCGGGGUAAAGGCCCACCAAGGCGACGAUCCGUAGCUGGUCUGAGAGGAUGAUCAGCCACAAUGGAACUGAGACACGGUCCAGACUCCUACGGGAGGCAGCAGUGGGGAAUAUUGGACAAUGGGCGCAAGCCUGAUCCAGCCAUACCGCGUGGGUGAAGAAGGCCUUCAGGUUGUAAAGCCCUUUUGUUGGGAAAGAAAAGCAGCAGGUUAAUACCCCGCUGUUCUGACGGUACCCAAAGAAUAAGCACCGGCUAACUUCGUG